Halichondria panicea is the source of this 364-nucleotide long non-coding RNA. RefSeq lists it as uncharacterized. Lineage: Eukaryota; Metazoa; Porifera; Demospongiae; Suberitida; Halichondriidae. The transcript has 3 exons. The record is from RefSeq and is a predicted model, not a curated record.
AUUAACCUCUAUUAUACAGGGUUUACAAACCUGAUUUGGCUCUUGUUCCUGCAGGAAUACGCUGGACGGCUCGCUUGUUGGGUUGUGAGAGGAAUCUUCCAUGCUGGUUGCACUGUUGCUCAACUUGGUCCAACCCGCUCCUGUCUCACACUCUCAUCAUUCAUGGGGAUUACCCCGCCCACCUACCAUUUGGGGCUGUGCCUCUGUUGGCUACUAGUAAGUAAGCCAGGCUGUUGUUACGACGACUCUAACAGUGUGUACAACAAGAAUUUCUGCGGACAAGUGUGGGUAAGAAGAUAGGUACUCGGUCAGGCAAAAAAAUGUCGACUGCAUCUAAUGCUACAGCUAGUGACCCCCCCUCUAG